RNAcentral lists this unclassified non-coding RNA (195 nucleotides) under uncultured fungus. RNAcentral describes it as "sequence contains ITS1". The record is from RNAcentral. Lineage: Eukaryota; Fungi.
UUAACUAUUUACAUAGUACUCGGACAACAUAAUAAAGAGUUUUGGGGUCCUCUGGCAGGCACAGACCAGCCAAAGCCGGUGGUCACAAGACGGGCCUGCCAAAGCAACAAAGGUAUUGUAAACAAAGGGUGGGAGAUAUACCCCCUAAAGGGCAUGUUCUCUGUAAUGAUCCUUCCGCAGGUUCACCUACGGAAA